GACGCAAGUUAUGCGACAAUUAGCGACCGGUUCAUAAGUAAAAUAUUUGUUGAAUUUGAUGGUGAGGGUAAUCGUUAGGUAUUUAAAGUUCGCUUGCUGCUCCUAUUGAUUGCAUAGUCGACAGAAGUCACCAAAACCUUGACAGACAUCAACGAUCGUUUUAAAAGUCAACGAAAUAAAUCAAAAUGUUCAAAAUUAUUUUACUGUUAUCAAUAUUUACGUUAUUGAUUGGGCUUGUGGUAAAUGAAGAUUGUGCGGUUCUUGACCAAUAUUGUUACGACAAAAAGUGCUGUGAAGGAUUCUUGUGCAAUGCAAUGUCCAUGAGAUGUAUAAAACAUUAAACAAUUUGUGGAACUUCAAAUUCGAGGUUUUAAUAAUUUAAUUUCAACAUCUAUUAAAUUAUUCCUUCAAGUAAAAUUAUGUAAGACGCAUAAACAAAUGAAUAAAUAGUAUUGCGCUAUCAAAGUAUAAAA
Molecule: long non-coding RNA, 473 nt
Organism: Microplitis mediator
Lineage: Eukaryota; Metazoa; Arthropoda; Insecta; Hymenoptera; Braconidae
Exons: 3
Source: RefSeq, a predicted model, not a curated record